RNAcentral lists this transfer RNA (73 nucleotides) under Hordeum vulgare. Its description in RNAcentral is "tRNA-OTHER". Lineage: Eukaryota; Viridiplantae; Streptophyta; Magnoliopsida; Poales; Poaceae. The record is from RNAcentral.
CAAGCCGUAGCCCAGUUGGUCGGCGCAUUGGUUUAUAACCAGGGGAUCGCGGGUUCGAGUCCCCACGGAUGCA